RNAcentral lists this transfer RNA (72 nucleotides) under Ailuropoda melanoleuca (giant panda). It matches the Rfam family "tRNA". From Rfam's summary of the family: Transfer RNA (tRNA) molecules are approximately 80 nucleotides in length. Their secondary structure includes four short double-helical elements and three loops (D, anti-codon, and T loops). Further hydrogen bonds mediate the characteristic L-shaped molecular structure. tRNAs have two regions of fundamental functional importance: the anti-codon, which is responsible for specific mRNA codon recognition, and the 3' end, to which the tRNAs corresponding amino acid is attached (by aminoacyl-tRNA synthetases). tRNAs cope with the degeneracy of the genetic code in two manners: having more than one tRNA (with a specific anti-codon) for a particular amino acid; and 'wobble' base-pairing, i.e. permitting non-standard base-pairing at the 3rd anti-codon position. Lineage: Eukaryota; Metazoa; Chordata; Mammalia; Carnivora; Ursidae. The record is from Rfam by way of RNAcentral.
GCCUGGCUGGCUCAGUCGGUAGAGCAUGCGACUUUUAUCUUGGGGUUGUGAGUUCAAACCCCAUGUUAAGCA